UACGAAGGGGGCUAGCGUUGCUCGGUAUCACUGGGCGUAAAGGGCGCGUAGGCGGACAGUUUAGUCAGAGGUGAAAGCCCAGGGCUCAACCUUGGAAUUGCCUUUGAUACUGGCUGUCUUGAGUACGGGAGAGGUGUGUGGAACUCCGAGUGUAGAGGUGAAAUUCGUAGAUAUUCGGAAGAACACCAGUGGCGAGGGCGACACACUGGCCCGUUACUGACGCUGAGGCUCGAAAGCGUGGGGAGCAAACAGC
This 253-nucleotide ribosomal RNA is filed under the name uncultured Phenylobacterium sp. RNAcentral describes it as "partial 16S ribosomal RNA". It matches the Rfam family "Bacterial small subunit ribosomal RNA", at positions 524 to 776 of the family's 1533-position model. The record is from RNAcentral. Lineage: Bacteria; Pseudomonadati; Pseudomonadota; Alphaproteobacteria; Caulobacterales; Caulobacteraceae.